Molecule: long non-coding RNA, 3693 nt
Filed under: Manihot esculenta (cassava)
Lineage: Eukaryota; Viridiplantae; Streptophyta; Magnoliopsida; Malpighiales; Euphorbiaceae
Description: long non-coding RNA (MESC_LNC001094)
Source: RNAcentral
CUGCACUUCCUUCCAUACAAAGCUUCAUAUGGAGCCAUCCCUAUGCUAGCAUGAUAGCUGUUAUUGUAGGCAAACUCCACCAAAGGUAGAUGCUGCUUCCAAGAACCGCCAAAAUCUAGCACACACAUUCUGAGCAUAUCCUCUAUUGUCUGGAUGGUCCUCUCGGACUGUCCGUCCGUCUGAGGAUGGAAAGCCGUGCUAAAAUCCAACCUGGUACCCAUAGCAUUCUGCAGACUCCGCCAAAACCUGGAGGUGAACUGGGGCCCUCUAUCAGACACUAUAGAAACAGGAGCCCCAUGCAACCUGACCACCUCUUCAACAUACACCUGCGCCAAUUUGUCCACAGAAUAGUUGCUCCUGACAGGGAUGAAAUGAGCAGAUUUGGUGAGUCUGUCCACUAUCACCCAGAUGGAGUCUAGUGUAACGACCCGAAAAUCGGACCGCUACCGGCGCUAGGAUCCGGGUCGACUUAAGGCCGCCGGGACCCGUAGCAAGCCUAGCAUACAUACUGUAAACCUGUAUAAUCCCAUACAUGAUCAACAAGAUACAUAAGCUGUAAACUUUUUUUCUUUCAUACAUUCUAUCGUAAGCCAAACUCAACCUGUACAUAAGCUGAACAUAAUCAUCAUAAUAAACUUGACCCCUCUAUGGGAUCUCAUAAUGCCCCCAAAGGGUGGCCUAUCAUAUGUUGAGUCGGCUAACAUGGAUAUCCAAAAGCAUAAAGAUCAUGCAUUUACAAGGGAUUACAACAUCUAUAGGGUCAAGCACAACUAAUACCUCAAUACAUAACAAACUAUACUUUUACAUUACAUCAUAAUACAAUAGUCAUUUGUCAUGUCCACAAGCUAACUAUUACAAUCAUGACUUUACUCUUCUUGACUUCUCUGUCUAGCCCGUACCUGCAAUCCUGGGGUUAGGGGAGAGGGGUGAGCUCUAAAGCCCAGUGAGCAGAAUAUAGAAAACAUAUAUUAAAUUUUCAUGCUUUCAUGGAAUGCAACAUAUCACAAACAAAUCACAUAAGGAUGGUAUUGUCACCUAUAGUCCUCAACAUAGUCCAAUCGUACCAGGGGCGUAGAAUGGGCCUCACUGGUCAUUCUCUUACUAUAACUGUAACAUACAUAAUGUUCCAAUAUGCCAGGGGCGUAGAAUGGGCCUCACUGGACUUUCUCUUACUAUGUUCCAGGGGCGUAGAAUGGGCCUCACUGGUCUCUCUCUACUAUAAUCUCAUCAUAUCAUAUCAUACGAGGACUAAAGGAUCAUUCAAUAACCAAUCCACACUAUCAUCAAUUGUGCAAUGCAUCAUAUUCGUGAAUACUAAUGCAAACAACCUACUAUAUCUCAUGGCAUUCAUGAUGCAUGUGUCAUGCUCAGAAUUUAUAUUUCAUUAAUUUAAAACUUAAAGUUUGUUCCACUCACCUCUGGCUAGCUCUGACUGUACUCUGUAGCAGCUGACUCACUGCUGCGGUCCUCUGUUCCUUGGGUCCGAACCUACACGGGUGGACUCCAAUAAGGGACCAAACAUACAUAAACAUAACUCUAAAACACUCCCCAAAAACCCCCUAAAACAUCAUGAAACAAUCAUGCAAAAACAUGCAAAAGAGGGCUGCACAGUGCAGGUUCGGCGGCACCUUCGGCGGCCGAAUGCCCCUCCAGAGACGAAAGUCAGGCAGGUUCGGCGGCACCUUCGGCGGCCGAACCUUCCCUCCAGAGACGAAAGUCAGGCACUUUCGGCGGCCGAACAUCACCUUCGGCGGCCGAAAGUCCGCUUUCACGCCUAACAUCACUUGCGGGGGCAAGCUUCGGCAGCCUAAGGCUGCCUCCACAAAGGGGGUUCGGCGGCCGAAAGUUCCUUCGGCUGCCGAACCUGGUUUCUUCCCAAAUGGCAGAAACUUGGUUCAAAUGAACCUCUUGCCUCCCAAAACUUCAAAACAUGCAUAUAACUCAUCUAGAACAUGCAUACAAGCUCCUAGGGGCCUCAAACACACAUAUACCCCAUCUACAACACUUCAAACAUACUCAAGCAACACACAUUGCUCAAAAACUCAACUUAAACAUAAAAACCUAACUAUGAGCUAAUAUGCAUUCUACCCCAUAGAUCUAGCAUAAAACUUACUUAAAACAUAUUUAGAGCUUAAGAUCGGCUCUUACCUCUUGUAGAUCGAGAGAGAGACGUCCUAAACUCGGAGGUGGGAGAUUUGGGUCCUUGAACCUCAAAACUCCAAAACUUGCUCAAAAUGCUUAAAUCUUGCAAAUCUUCAAAAACAAGAAGAAAGCUAGUGAAAAUCAUGAAAGAUUGAAGGAAAGAACUCAAGAUGGUGAGGAAGGGUGGAAAACUCACCUUGGCCGACAAUGGGGAGAAAAGCUCGCCCGUUUUCGGCUAAGGGGUCCUUUUAUACCAGCUGGCCAAACCACGUUCGGGGGCCGAACGUCCUCCCGCAUGCAUGCCAUGUUCGGCGGCCGAACUUGAGUUUCGGCGGCCGAACCUGCACUUCCUCAACCUAUGCUUUCGGGGGCCUAAAGCACACCCGAAAGGCUUGAAUGUUCGGCGGCCGAACUUCACUUUCGGCGGCCGAACCUGAGUUUUCCUCAAAAGCUGUUUUCAUGCAAAACUCAUUUAAAAUUCAUACUUAAAACAUUAAAACACAUGAAAACAUUUUAUAAAAACAUACUAUUACCCUUCUAGAGGUUUCCGGCAUCCGAGAUUCCACCGGACGGUAGGAAUUCCGAUACCGGAGCCUAGCCGGGUAUUACAUUCUCCCCCCCUUAAGAACAUUCGUCCCCGAAUGUUCCUCAACUAGCACAUGCAUAACAUACAUACAUAACAUCUACACAUAAACACAUAAAGCACAAACAGCUUACCUCAAAAGAGAUGGGGAUAUUGCUGGAGCAUGGACUCCCGUGUCUCCCAGGUGCAUUCUUCUAUAUUGUGGUGGUUCCAUAGGACUUUCACCAUCGGGAUUUCCUUGUUUCUCAGCUUUCUAAUCUGGGUGUCUAAGAUCCGCACUGGCUGCUCUACAUAGGUGAGAUCCUCUUGGAUCUCCAUAUCAGGCUCACUAAGAACCUUACUCGGAUCUGACACGAACUUUCUCAACAUCGAAACAUGGAAAACCGGAUGGAUUCUUUCCAUUGAAGUAGGCAAAUCUAGCUUGUACGACACAUUCCCAAUCUUCUGUAAGACCUCAAAGGGUCCGAUGUAUCGUGGAGCUAGCUUACCCUUCUUCCCGAAACGAACCACUCCUUUCAUUGGAGACACCUUGAGCAAAACUAGAUCCCCCUCCUGAAACUCUACUAGCCGUCUGCGGAUGUCUGCAUAACUCUUCUGUCUGCUCGAAGCAGUCUUGAUUCUCUCUCUGAUAAUGGGUACUACCCUGCUGGUAAUCUCUACCAACUCAGGCCCUGCCAAGGCCUUUUCUCCUACUUCUUCCCAACAGAUGGGUGAUCUGCACUUCCUCCCAUACAACGCUUCAUACGGAGCCAUCCCAAUGCUAGCAUGAUAGCUGUUAUUGUAGGCAAACUCCACUAAAGGUAGAUGCUGCCUCCAAGAACCGCCAAAGUCUAGCACACACAUUCUGAGCAUAUCUUCUAUAGUCUGGAUGGUCCUCUCUGACUGUCCAUCAGUCUGGGGGUGGAAGGCAGUACUGAAAUCUAACCUGGUACCCAUAGCACUCUGCAGACUCCGCCAAAACCGGGAUG